RNAcentral lists this unclassified non-coding RNA (339 nucleotides) under soil metagenome. Its description in RNAcentral is "partial contains 5.8S ribosomal RNA, internal transcribed spacer 2, and large subunit ribosomal RNA". The stretch from base 1 to 120 matches the Rfam family "5.8S ribosomal RNA", at positions 35 to 154 of the family's 154-position model. The record is from RNAcentral.
GAUGAAGAACGUAGCGAAAUGCGAUAACUAAUGUGAAUUGCAGAAUUCAGUGAAUCAUCGAGUCUUUGAACGCACAUUGCGCCCCCUGGUAUUCCGGGGGGCAUGCCUGUCCGAGCGUCAUUGCUGCCCUCAAGCACGGCUUGUGUGUUGGGCUCCGUCCCCCCGGGGACGGACCCGAAAGGCAGCGGCGGCACCGAGUCCGGUCCUCGAGCGUAUGGGGCUUUGUCACCCGCUCUGUAGGCCCGGCCGGCGCCAGCCGACAACCCAUCAUCCUUUUCAGGUUGACCUCGGAUCAGGUAGGGAUACCCGCUGAACUUAAGCAUAUCAAUAAGCGGAGGA